RNAcentral lists this non-coding RNA (264 nucleotides) under unclassified sequences. Its description in RNAcentral is "ARRPOF RNA". It matches the Rfam family "ARRPOF RNA". The record is from Rfam by way of RNAcentral.
AAAAAUCUUACCAUUAUAUAUUAUUAGAUUUACAAUUUAUGUUCAAGCAGGACAUAGCGGUUAGGCACUAAACCGUGUAGCGCCAAAAAUGGUGGUACUAUGAAUUGUUGCAGGGGGAGAGUCGCCCCAGAAAUAACAGGCUUGGCGGUACUCUGAAUACAGGGGUGCUUUAUUGACGCUAUAAGACAAUAAAGGUAAGUUUGUUGCGUCUAUUGUGGGGCAGAGUUCACAAGAACAAGCGAUAUAGCUUGAAAUAAAGCAAGU